AUGGCCGAGGGCAGUCGGGGCGGCCCUUCGUGGGGCGGGGUGGGCGACAAGCAGGACCUGGUUCCUCGGGUUGUUGGCUCCAACUUUCCAGAGUACGAGCUUCCCGAGCUCAACACGCGCGCUUUCCACGUGGGCGCUUUCGGGGAGCUAUGGCGCGGCCGGCUGCGCGGGGCCGGGGACUUGUCGCUGAGGGAACCCCCGGCGCCCGGCAGCCAGGGGGUCGCUGACUCCGAGCCCGAGGAUAUCGCGGUGGCCCGGGAUCUGGGCUGCAGUCUGGAGGCGGCGGCUGAACUGAGGGCGGUGUGCGGCAUUGAUAAACUGAAAUGCCUUGAGGAAGGUGAGGAUCCAGAAGUCAUCCCAGAGGAUACUGACUUGGUGACUUUGGGAGUUAGAAAGAGGUUCUUGGAACAUCGGGAAGAAACCAUCACCAUAGAUCGUGUCUGCAGACAAGAAACAUUUGCUUAUGAGAUGGAAUCACAUGCAGUAGGCAAAAAGCCUGAAAAUCCAGCAGACAUGAUUGAAGAAGGGGAGCUUAUCCUAUCUGUGAAUAUUUUGUACCCUAUUAUAUUUCAUAAGCACAAAGAACACAAACCAUACCAGACAAUGCUGGUAUUGGGCAGUCAAAAGCUCACAGAACUGAGAGAUUCAAUUUGCUGUGUCAGCGACCUGCAGAUUGGGGGAGAAUUCAGCAACACUCCUGACCAAGCCCCUGAGCACAUUAGCAAAGACCUAUAUAAAUCAGCCUUCUUUUAUUUCGAAGGAACAUUUUACAAUGAUAAAAGAUACCCAGAAUGCAGAGAUUUGAGCAGAACUAUCAUUGAAUGGUCAGAGUCCCAUGAUAGAGGCUAUGGAAAGUUUCAGACUGCUAGAAUGGAAGAUUUCACCUUCAAUGACCUGAAUAUUAAACUGGGCUUUCCCUACUUAUACUGUCACCAGGGAGACUGUGAACAUGUUAUUGUCAUUACAGACAUAAGGCUUGUGCAUCACGAUGACUGCUUGGAUAGAAAACUUUAUCCUCUUCUUACCAAGAAGCACUGGCUAUGGACCAGAAAAUGUUUUGUUUGUAAAAUGUACACGGCUCGAUGGGUAACGAACAAUGACAGUUUUGCACCAGAGGACCCAUGUUUCUUUUGCGACAUUUGCUUCCGAAUGCUCCAUUAUGAUUCAGAAGGCAACAAACUGGGGGAAUUCCUUGCUUAUCCUUAUGUUGAUCCUGGAACCUUUAACUAAGAAUGCUUCCCCAUACCCCUGGCCAAAACAAAGUCCAAUGUUUAGAAAUGUUAAAUUAUUUCAUUUAUAGUAUUUAUUUCAAAGUUUUUUUUUAUUUUAUGUGUUUUACUCAUUGUGAGUUGCUCAUCUUAUUGAGUUGUAGAAGUGCUUUAUAUAUUCUUAAUAUAUGUUUUGUCAGAUACACAGCUUCUGAUUCUGUUCUCCCAAUCCAUGGCUUGCCUAUUCAUUCUGUAUCCUGAGAACUUUUUGCUAAUGAUAGAAUGCAAUUAAUGAUAAAUCAGGUGGCAGAGUGUUUUGAAAAUUCUUUGAAGAAUGUGAGCUACACCUUCUACCAUGAAGCUUCCAAGGAUGUAUAUUUAAAUUCAGCUGAAUUCUACAUUUCUCUGGAUGGCUAAGAACAGAUAUUUACUAUAUAAAUCAAAAACAAAAAAAAUAAUGAAGCCUAUCUGUUUAAAAGAUUGACAGUGAAGUAUUUUCAUGGACUGAAAUGUCACAAAUCCAAUUAAGUUGAUUGAUACGGAGAUGACAAGUACCUGUUUCUGGUAUGUCUAGAGAUACUCACAGUCACUGAUUUAGUCAGUACAGAGGAUCAGCACAGACCAUUAAGAAGCCCCUCCAUGGCUGGCUUACGUUGUGCCUAAAUUUUUACUUUCCUGUAUCCAAUGGUGCUAACAUUGAGCAGACUGAAAAUUCUGCUGGAAAAUCAUAGAUUUAAGAUGACCAAUCAGUGAUUUACCCAGUUCCUAGAAGUCCACAGGUAAAAGUUAUUUUUGAUUCCUUUACUUGUAAUACUGCAUUUCUUACAGCUCUUGCCUUAAUAUGGGUCUGUUUGAUUCAUUUUCACUUCAUACUCCCACAAUAGCAAAUUUCACAAAGUUAAUUUACCCUUAAUGCAUUAUCCCACAAAUGAUGCCAGUCAAUCCAUUUUAGUGGACAUGCAGAUAUUAGAUAAAACAUUUCUGUAUUAGAACUCUUAUUUUAUCAUUUAUUGAGAAUGUUAUUCUUCUAGCUGAGUUAACAUUUUUAUCAAAGACUCAGAUACCUUCCUAUUGUUUCCUGGCGAAACUGAGAGGAAGGGCUGGCCAGGUUACCACCACAGUUGGCAUUACUCAUCAUUUGUUAUAGGUAUCCCACCAAGUUCAUGUCAAAAGAGUAACUUGUACAUUUUGAAACUAUAAAAUCCCUGAUCUGAUACAGCUUUUCUUUAUGCUGCUUUCAAUCUACCGAACAUGUCAUGACUGUAAAAUUACAUGUAUUUUAUCUAAAAAACAAAAGCAAAUAUGAAAAUGUUGUCAUGCACUUACAGUGAAUAUUCUCUAAUUAGAAAUUAAUUUGGUUUGAUUUAAUUAACAGUGGAUGCACAUGCACUAUACAGAAAAGCAAUACUGUUUCCUUAAAAACCUUCUCAGGCUUCAGAAUCCUUUAAAGAUAACUAGACAUUGCAGUUUACUGAGGGAAAAGGUUAGUCAUCUUUAAACAUCUUUGUUGGAGAAUUACACAGCACAAACACAAGCACAUUUCUGCCUAGUAUAGUAACUUCUUCAUUUCUUAAAAGUUUAAAGAUACACGUUUGCUAUUUCAAGUCCAUCAUUCUCUGGCCAUUGGGACAAAACUUAUUAAUGAAGCCCUCACAGAGCUAUAAAAACCUUUGUUCUGAUACAAGAUUAGAUGGCCAACCUUGUCUUGACCUGACAUCUUUAAUCAGGUAAGUGGAUGUGAGUAGGAACACUUUUAGUGUACUACACCUCACUGUAUCAGCAGAAACUGGUAAAACAUAAUUUGAAAGUACUAGAGGCAAGAAGCAAUUAUGAGGCUUAAAGUACUGUGAUCAAAUUGUUACUCCAUACAAACUCCCAAUCAUGCUCUCCAUCUAAACUGUCUCAAAGCAGCUGAGAAAACCUUCAACAGUCAUUACUCUUCAAAAUGUUUAUCCAAUGAUCAAA
Molecule: non-coding RNA, 3173 nt
Organism: Castor canadensis (American beaver)
Lineage: Eukaryota; Metazoa; Chordata; Mammalia; Rodentia; Castoridae
Source: RefSeq, a predicted model, not a curated record